UACAGAGGUCUCAAGCGUUGUUCGGAUUCAUUGGGCGUAAAGGGUGCGUAGGCGGCGCGGUAAGUCGGGUGUGAAAUCUCGGGGCUUAACUCCGAAACUGCAUUCGAUACUGCCGUGCUUGAGGACUGGAGAGGAGACUGGAAUUUACGGUGUAGCGGUGAAAUGCGUAGAUAUCGUAAGGAAGACCAGUGGCGAAGGCGGGUCUCUGGACAGUUCCUGACGCUGAGGCACGAAGGUCGGGGGAGCAAACGGG
This 253-nucleotide ribosomal RNA is filed under the name uncultured bacterium. RNAcentral describes it as "partial 16S ribosomal RNA". It matches the Rfam family "Bacterial small subunit ribosomal RNA", at positions 524 to 776 of the family's 1533-position model. The record is from RNAcentral.